AAAUCAAACCAAACCAAAACAUUAAAACAACUUAAUCGAAUCAUACUAAAAUAAAAUUGGUUUGAUUUGGUUUAAACAAAAAUAAACCGAACCCAUUCUCCAUUCCCAGCAUUCACACCUAACAUUCAAAUUACAAUGCCAAUGCUACAACCCAAAACCCAGAAAAAAUUCAACAUACUCAUCUCAAUAUUCUCCAUAAAAAAUUCAAAUCAAAACCUAGAAAAUUGCUUCCAUGUCCUAUGACUCGACACACUUACCUCACAAAACACAGUAUGUGAAUGAAGUAAAAUAAGAUGAACAAAGAAAUGAAGAAAUCUUAGGCUAUAAUUUUGUUUGUUGCUUAUUAAUAUCUCAAGAUCUUCCACUACUUUCUUCAUUGUUGGUCUUUGUUCAUAGUUGAAGAUGCCAUUGAAGCUGGCUUUCUUUAUUGUGGGUCUUGGAGUUUCACUUGAAGCCUUGAAGGAGUUUAGUUUUAUAUAUAUAUAGAGAGAGAGAG
This 496-nucleotide unclassified non-coding RNA is filed under the name Hevea brasiliensis (rubber tree). The record is from RNAcentral. Lineage: Eukaryota; Viridiplantae; Streptophyta; Magnoliopsida; Malpighiales; Euphorbiaceae.